Small nucleolar RNA from Macadamia integrifolia, 106 nucleotides. Lineage: Eukaryota; Viridiplantae; Streptophyta; Magnoliopsida; Proteales; Proteaceae. The record is from RefSeq and is a predicted model, not a curated record.
ACAACAUGAUGGGAUACUUUCUAAUUAGAUCCUUAAGUCUCUCUUAGGUCUCAUAGAAUUUCUCACCAUCAACUUGCGAAAAGUUAGUGAUGGCUUGUUUGAUUUG